Long non-coding RNA from Betta splendens (Siamese fighting fish), 1314 nucleotides. RefSeq lists it as uncharacterized. Lineage: Eukaryota; Metazoa; Chordata; Actinopteri; Anabantiformes; Osphronemidae. The record is from RefSeq and is a predicted model, not a curated record. The transcript is spliced from 3 exons.
UGUCAGUAGUGAAGGACUUCCUCGCUGUCUCCAACGUCUGCGUCUCUCCUGCGUUUUCACGCACGUCCGUGCAUGUGCAUAAAUGCCAUGGAAACCGCUGACGCGGAAUGGGUCGUCAUUUGCCCCAGGGCCUUGUGAAGCUCUGGAGUCGCUUCAAGCGUUGGAGAAACCGGAGGAUCCAGCCGGAGCAGCCGGUGGGCGAAGGUGGUCCAGAUGGGCCUAACGGCGUCCACGUCCAUCCUUCACCCACUCCUCAGGUGGGUGACUCAUACACACCCCAUCCACCUUCUCCUCCACGCUCUCUUAUUUUUUGGUCUGCUGGUCCUUCUGUUUCUCCUUCACCCCCUCCUGUUCCUUGUUGCUUUGAUGUUCUUGCUUUUUCUCCUUCACCCUGUCCUACUCCUUCUUUUUCUUCUUCUUCCUCACUCUCUUCUGCUUCCUCUGGUACUUGGUGCUCUGACAUCUUUCCCUUUUCUCCAUACCCUUCUCCUACUCCUUCUUUUUCUUCUUCUUCUUCCUCACUCUCUUCUGCUCACUGCUUCUCUUUGCUCUGACAUCUCUCCCUUUUCUUCUUCCUCGCCCUCCUCUGCUUACUCUGGUACUUGUUGCUCUGCUGUCCUUCAUUUUUCUUCUUCACCCUCUCCUCUUCCUAGUUGGUCUGCUGUCUUCCCUUUUCUCCUUCACCCUCUCCUACUCCUUCUUCUUCUUCCUCACCCUCUUCUGCUUACUCUUGUCUUUGUUGCUCUGAUGCCCUUCCUUUGUCUCCUUUACCCUCUCCUGUGACGGAGAGAGUGAAGGAGCUCAUCCAGCAGCUCAUCUUCCAGGAGAGGUAAGGAAGACAGAGAUGAGGAGGGGGCUGCUCUUGGAAGACUCAACUGUGGGACACUGUUUCCUACAGUGAAACCAGUAUUGGAUUUGACCCCAGGGCAACUUUUCUUUAGUUUUAUUUCUAUACCAUAAGUUUAAAUGUUCAUUCCAACUUUGAGAACUAGCCUUUGCGUCUGGCUGGGCAGUUUUCAGGUCCCCGGCAGCGUCUGGCACCUGGGCCAGUUUUUGCUGUUUUUUAUAUUUUAGCAUGGCGGUUGGAUGGACUUUUCUUUCACCCUGAAGGCUGAAUUCAGCGCCUGGCAGGGCCGUCGAUCCCCCCAUGCAAGUUGCCCUAGCGUCUGGCGGGGUAGCUAUUAUGUUUCCUCCACAGCGAUAGAAGGUCAGCUCAGUCACAGUGGCACUGGGGACACAUGUCAUCUCCCACUGAAGCUCCUCGGUGGCAGAUGACUGCAGUGUCAUGUGUUACUGUAUGGAGGAGUGGGUUAA